This 4143-nucleotide unclassified non-coding RNA is filed under the name Hevea brasiliensis (rubber tree). Lineage: Eukaryota; Viridiplantae; Streptophyta; Magnoliopsida; Malpighiales; Euphorbiaceae. The record is from RNAcentral.
UCAAAGCCAGCCAUUGCACUUGAAAAUAUGAAGCUUCCUUGGAUGCUUAACCGAAAAGAACAUGCAUGUCAGACUAAUUCAGGAGGAGUCUAGACAUUGCAAUAUGAAUUUUCUGAUAUAUUCCCAAUUACAAUCUUAAGAAACAAUUCACAUAACUGUGCACAUAUACACCUGUAAAGAGGGAGGACAAAAGGAUAAAAGAAAAGAACAAUGCCUAAUGUGAUAAAUACAUUUUUUUUCCUGUGAUAAAUACAAGAUGUAUGGUAGCUCCACUAGAAAUCUGGGGUAGUGUAACUACAAGUCCAGAUUUGGACUGGAGCUUAUGGCAUUUUCAACUUUCUUUUUAACAACUCACUAUAAAACUACCACUCAAAAAAUUUGAGAAAAAAAUAGCCCCUUACAAAUGUUGAAAGAAACUUGAAAUAAGUACGCUUCAAGAAGACGGGAAGAAGCUUCAGACUCCCUUGUAUUUAUAUCUUGAAUCCAAUGCUGCUAGUAGAAACAGUGAUCCUUUCUGUUGUAUCUGUACUGCAUUUUGGAUUAUACAAGCUUUUCAUUUUUACAGUCUUUAAUUCCCUUGUGUCAGCUCUCAAAACAAUGAGAAACUUUUCCUAUGUCUAGAAUGCCGGGAAGAACGUGGUUGUUCAACUGAUGCUCUUGGAGUGGGCCCAGUGCUGUCAACAGUAUCUGGUUGGGCAUCCGAGGAUCGUGGAAGAAGCUUGCACCCAAUUUUCCGGGCAACCAAGCGAGGGGAACUAAGAGAGCUAUGUGAUUUCGUCACCCUCUUCAUCUCUUGUUUUAUUUUGCUAAAUUCUUCUUCAAGCUCCCCAACUCUAGACCUCAUAUUUUCCAUAUCUACUUUUAAAACCUGGUUCUCACGCACAACUGUUACCCACCCAUCUCUCUGUACAAUUUGUCCUGCCGUGUCAGUUGGUACUGUCAUGGGACCUGCAGGGGCAUUUUCAGCGUCCAAGACAUGGAGACAGCCAGCAAGAGCAGUUCUCAACUGCAUCUGCUCAAAGAACAGAACUUGAAGAACGACUCUAAGUGGUAGCCUGUCAUUCUGGGAAGCAUGGGCACAUGCAUCAAUGGAGAGUUUCUGGUAGUCAAUGAUGUUGCAAAGUUCUUCCUUCUCUCUCUCAGACAGCCAAGGAUGAGCCUUGAAAUAUAUAUCCAAUGCUCUGUAUAACCCGUCAUGCAAUGCUCUUGAAGAUUCUGGAAGAGCCUCUGCAAGAGAACGUAUCUUCAUGGGUUUCAAAUUUACAUCAGAAGCAACCUCUGCAAUAUAGUUGUCCAUUAGUUUUGCAACCUUUCUCAAUGGUUCAGAUGAUGGUGAUGUUUCCAGGUCCAAUGAUGGCGAAAAUGAUGUUAUCCUUGAUUCUGAAUUCAUGAAGUGAUGGAUGAUACGUUCCAUGCAGUCAGUAUCAUAUAAAGUAUCAGAAUCUGAGUAAGUAGGAAUAAGAAGAGCAUCCAGGGUUGCCAUUUCCAGUUGCAUCCCUAUUCUCCUUUCUAAAGAAUCCUUACAUGUUUGUCUGACACUCAAAAUCAAUGCAACACGAAGAAGUCCCAAUAAAAAACGGCAGAAUGAUUUCCCCUUCUUUUCUGGGAGAAGCUUUUCAAUAGUUUCCAACAAAACCUUUUGAUCAACAGCAGCAGGUGUCAAGCUGAAACUGGCAACAGUUCUAGUUUUACCACUUUGUCUGCUCUGCCACCGGCCCAGACCUGGUAGAUACUUCCUGGCAUAGUACAUAAUUGCACCCACAAGAUUUUCAGGUCUAACACCUCUUGUUUCCAUUGUAUGGAUUAGUUUUUCAAACAAACCUACAUUAAGGUAAGAGAUGUCUUCAAACCACCAGUCAGAUUCUGUGCUUCGGAUUCUUGCACCGGUGUUUAUUCCAUUCCAUAGGAUGCUACCACCUGGGCUCUGUAACCUACCAUACAUCAUCAUGGGCCACCCAAACAAACUAGGAUCUGUGCAGACCAUCAUAGACAAAGCAUUCAAAGAUUUGCUUACUAUCUGGAGCUUUUCCACCCUUGGCGUCAAUGGAUCACAACUCUGAAGAGCCAAUAUACAGUCCUUCCAGUUGCGAAGUACAUUCUUGUGGAAGAAACUCUCUGAUUUGGACAGCAAGUUAUCUUCCCCAUACUCAUCUGUCAUUUCAAGAUAGUCUGCCGCACAAGAGACAGUUACUAUGUUUCUUGGUGUCAGUUCUGCCCGCAUGCCAUAGCAAAAUUUUACUAUGAUCAGGAAAGUGUCAGGACCACCAGGGAAGUCUUCAAGGGCCAUAGUAAAAGCCUUUUCAAAUGAUUCUUCACAUAUCCGUGCUAUCUUCCCACAUUUUGAUACUAGUGGAAACUGGAUAGAUACAUCUUGUUAAAAAUGGUUCCAAAAUAGAAUUUGACACUAUUAUAUCAUUUCAAUAUAAAAAAAGUUCAGCACUGAUAUAUAAUUAAGUGCAGUAAAAAAAAAUAAGAAACAUUAAUCCUUCUGUUUUGACAAUUGGUGUACGAGAGCCAUUAGAAUUCUAUAUUAUCAGUAACCAGAGAAGGAAAGGUGGUACGAAUAAUGGUAACGGAAAAAAUAAUAUGUAAAAGUAUUUAGAAAAAAAAAAAAUUAUUCACAGAAGAAGAUGAACACAACUAGCAUAAUCCAGACAACCAUAUAUUGAAUAAACAAAGCAGGUUCUCAUUAGUUGAUACAAUUCAUCCAAAUCCCUAUACUUCAUUUCUUUGUCAUUGGCUUAUGCUUUAGAUGUAUUUCAAACUUCACUAGUAAGAUCCCAGCUACCUUUGGAACCAUUUUUGUUUUUUUAACUUUGGUUUACAGUGGAUUGCCUAGCAACCAAAAUAAUAUAAUCCGUAUCAUUUGCUCAAAAUAAGCGAUGUGUUUCAUCCAAUAAUAAUGAAAAAGUAUAUUAUUUUCUUGACAACUCCAGUGUACCAUUCCACUUGUUCCUACAGUGAAUCCAAGAAAUAUAAACUCAUUCAUGCCCUUUGUUACAAUUACAUUUGCAGAACACACUAAGUCCAUAUUGUAAACAAACAAGAAACCCAAACCAAAAACCUUUUCUAUUGAGGACAAAUAGUUACACCAAGAGCUUAUUAAUUUCACUUGUAUCCAGUUUCACGUGCCAUAUUCCCCACCUGUUACUUUGCCUUCCUUGGAUAAAAUGUCAUAUGUUUAUGUUAUUCUCUUUUCCUGCAACAGUUUCCACAUCAGUUUCCAACAUAUUACUUCCAGUACAGACUUUUGUUUUCAAUCAAAUCCAAAUGAGAAUCAGGAAGCCUUGACUAAAGUUGCAUAGCAAAAAUAAGGUAGAAUUCUUGGGUUCAACAAUGCAACCAUGAGGAUUGAUUCACAUUACUCAUUAGGAUCAUGACAUGUUUUUGGUCUCUCACAGAAAAUACCUUUCUGUCAAACAACCUACUUAUAUGAGCAUCUUGGUCUCUAAGCAACCUUACAAAGCAAGCAAAUUUGCUGAAGUCCAAAGAACAAGACAUAAAUCCAGAAAUCUAGCAUCUCUAGUUUGUUUAUUUGGAAAGACAUCUGAGAAGAUGCUAACAAAAAACAAGGAUCAUAACAUUGUGGUUUGGAACAGUUGGAUCAGUAAUCAACCACAAUUAUUUUCGGUGCCUCCAUGGUUUCUCCACCUCAAUAUUCUUCACUCCUUGAUUUUUGAAUUCUCAUAAUCCCACCCCAGUUGCUUACAAAUAACAUAUAAUGUUACAAUUUCCAGGGCUUGCAUCAUCAGAACACCAAAAUAAUUACUUCAAUGCAUUCCCUUAUACCUUUGCUAUCCCAUACAGGGUCUAGAUUCUUUAAGCCUGGGAAACUCACUUAAAAAAUAAGAACUCACUGGCCAGCAAGAAGCCCCCAUGAGUAAAUAUCCAUUUAAAUGGGACUUUGCGAAAGCCCAAAGGAUUUAACAAACGUGAUGUAGUGAACCCAUAAAAAUGAACCAUUAAAGGAAUGAGAAAAAUCAUUGAUUUCCCUGGCACGCGACUAUAGGACUCUCUGAAUGCCAAGAACUUACCAGUCACAUUAAGCUUUUGAAAAUGAAUCACCCAAAUUUUAAUAAGAAAGACGAACUACAACAAAAUCAUCAUGAUGAAGCAUAAUUUAAUGAGAGAGAGAGAGAGAGA